This 29-nucleotide ribosomal RNA is filed under the name Passalora bellynckii. RNAcentral describes it as "partial 18S ribosomal RNA". The record is from RNAcentral. Lineage: Eukaryota; Fungi; Ascomycota; Dothideomycetes; Mycosphaerellales; Mycosphaerellaceae. RNAcentral also lists the same sequence under 1 other name.
UCGAAGGUGAACCUGCGGAGGGAUCAUUA